GUUUAUUUUAGGCAAGUGCUGUAGCAACUAUGUGGUGAAGGAAUGUGUAGGUGCACUGCACCCGGCGUCAGGAUCGGAGUGGUGCAUCCGGAAGGGUGUGCGGAGCUGUCUGGGCUGAGCUUACUGGGAGUUCACCUAGCCCCACCCACCGGGAAAGCUCUCUGCCCCAUCCCCAACCAUCCUUAAUAAUCAAGAGCACUAAGGUAGUCCUUACGGCAAGAAAAUGACAAAAAAGGAGUUGUGUCAUGAAGUACGCUUAGGAAACAAGGCCCUGCUCCCCGGGAAGCCCUAGGCCAUUAGCUCCAGUUUCCCUCUUCCUCACUCCCACUCGGAAGGAAAGAGAGAAGUUCUUCGCAGAUACACCGUCACGUUGGUUCAUCAAAGCCAUUCUGAUCACGCGACUCCCUGGCCAGACCAGCCCUUGUUUCUUUUUGUUUUUGUUUGUUUGUUUGAACCCUCACCCGAGGAUAUUUUCCCCAUUGAUUUUUAGAGAGAGGGAGGGAGGAAGGGAGGGAGAGAGGAACAUCAAUA
This is a long non-coding RNA of Myotis lucifugus (little brown bat), 531 nucleotides long. RefSeq lists it as uncharacterized. Lineage: Eukaryota; Metazoa; Chordata; Mammalia; Chiroptera; Vespertilionidae. The record is from RefSeq and is a predicted model, not a curated record. The transcript has 3 exons.